AUAUUUUUUUAUAUUUGAAAAGAAGAAUAGUCAUAAUUUUCACUUUCUCCUCUUUAUUCCUUAGAAAAUUUGAGAUUUUAGAGGCAAGAUCCUCCCUUAAUUCACUAUUUUCCAAAUAUAAGACAUAGCUCACUUAUCCCUUUUUUACUUUUAUUGAUCACUCCUCCACCAUCUUCCAAAAGACCAAAAGCCCCUAAUUAAUCAUUUUCUGGGAUGAUUUCCUAAUGAAGUGUCAGCCAUUCAAUCCGCUAAAGGAAGGAAUGUGUAUUAUUUUUUCUCAAAAGUCGAAAAUUUUUAUAUUUUCUUAAAAAAAAUUUUAGUCCCCACAGUUCUUCUGCUACUUUGCCUAUGAAUUGGCGUGGUUUGGAUUGUAGACAGACUUUGGCUUUACAACAUUUUUCUUCUCUCUUUCACUGAUCAGUAAGCACACUAGUAUGUAUCAAUUCCUCGAAGAUACAGCGUCAGGAUGCCUUUGAACUUUGAAAUUCACGAUAAAUGAUGGUUUAGAGACACUAGAUUUUUGGGUCUUCAAUUGGAUCUAAAUUGCUCAUUGUAGCUUAAAUAUAAUGAAUGUCCAUAGAGCGAUAGGAUGUGAAACUGGGAAGCAGCAAUUCCUGUCCUUUUAAUUUCCGCUGUGUUUGAAACUGGAUUUUGCCUUUGAAUGCUAUGGAAGCUUCACAGAUGACAGAGCUAAUUGAUUUCCUUGGCUCAUCUAGACAGUUUCUUGUAACAUGAUUUGAGCCUGAUUUGGAAAAGAGAGACUUACCAUUGCUGGCAUAUAAAAGAGAUUAUGCUUUCUAUAAAGAUGUACCUCAAUCUUGCUUGUAACUUAUUUGCUUGUCAGUGUUCAUAUUGUCGUUGUUGUUUCUUGCGUUCAUCAAAUUUUCAUUGAACUAGAGGAAAUUAACUGGGAAAAA
This 917-nucleotide unclassified non-coding RNA is filed under the name Hevea brasiliensis (rubber tree). The record is from RNAcentral. Lineage: Eukaryota; Viridiplantae; Streptophyta; Magnoliopsida; Malpighiales; Euphorbiaceae.